RNAcentral lists this transfer RNA (74 nucleotides) under Legionella pneumophila. RNAcentral's name for it is "tRNA-Gly(tcc)". It matches the Rfam family "tRNA". From Rfam's summary of the family: Transfer RNA (tRNA) molecules are approximately 80 nucleotides in length. Lineage: Bacteria; Pseudomonadati; Pseudomonadota; Gammaproteobacteria; Legionellales; Legionellaceae. The record is from RNAcentral. RNAcentral also lists the same sequence under 438 other names.
GCGGGUGUAGUUCAAUGGUAGAACUUCAGCCUUCCAAGCUGAUAGCGUGGGUUCGAUUCCCAUCACCCGCUCCA